CAAAGGCUCCCAUGAAGGGAGGGUGCUGGGGGGUUCAGCCCCUGGUGGUGUUUUUGAGCAGAACCUGUUUCCUAGGCUGGAUGCAAUGGCCAUAAGGGCUGGAAGAUUCGCAGUGCCCCAGGGUGGCCCCACCCAAAGAUGUGGUGGGAUUUUCCAGGAUGGAAACAAGGAAUGAGGAAAGUUUAGCAUAUCCAAUAGCUUGUUAGCAUACUAUCAAGUAGGAAAGGUGUGCCAACAGCCACAGUGCAGCGAGCCCUGGGAGCAAGGUUAGAGCUUGUAGGAGCAUCCCCGAUGCCAACACGUGACCUUGGUAAGGUCUGCAGUUAAUGCAGAUUCAACAAAUAAAUAAACAUUUGUAAUAGACCUGGUACCUGACCUCAUCCCAACGGUGAUCACUAACAGAAUUAUUGACCUGAUCGUUUGCUGCUGGAGAAUUUUGGAAAUGCCAGGUUCAUUAUAGCCCUACUUAUUGCCAGGAAGCAUUACAGCUUUGUGCUUUCAGCAGCUGUAAAGGCAGAUGAAAGCCAUAGCGAUGGGUCAUCCCAGAGGCACGGCUAAGUGCAUCGUCCCAGGUGACCUUUGGGGCUGGGAAGAAGCUGCUGUUUCCCACUCGCAUCCGUGAGUCAACGUGCACAUCAAGUCACAGCGGCACGCCGAGCCUCAUUUAUCAUUCCAUUUAAGGUGUCAGCAGAGCCAUUAUUCAAACGAAUGGCCACACAUGCAAUCAAUCUUUAAUGAAACAAUAAUUGCGCCUUCCACUCUGCAAGACCUCUGCCUUUCUUAAAGGUAUCUUGCGUAUUAAUUAUUGAAAACGUUUGUGUUUUACCGGCGGUAAGUUAUGUUUCACCAAUUGCCAUCUUUCAAGAGAGUUUUAACUGGGAAAUUUGACUCUCGAUUUCACUAAGGGAAAAAUAAACAGCAGAUACUGUUCUUUCUCUCA
RNAcentral lists this long non-coding RNA (940 nucleotides) under Numida meleagris (helmeted guineafowl). Its description in RNAcentral is "lncRNA (ENSNMEG00000009383.1)". The record is from RNAcentral. Lineage: Eukaryota; Metazoa; Chordata; Aves; Galliformes; Numididae.